Molecule: non-coding RNA, 276 nt
Organism: Oryza barthii
Lineage: Eukaryota; Viridiplantae; Streptophyta; Magnoliopsida; Poales; Poaceae
Source: Rfam
GAUAUUAACUGAAAAAGACAUCAACAACAAAGUUGAAUAACUCAUCAAGAUCUAAAACUUUUAUUUUGGUCAUUUCUUCAUACGACCAAAUGAUAGUAACAUUGUUCACAAAAUUGACAUAUCUCUUAUCUGGUUUAUAAACACUAUAACACAUAUACGUAAAUUUUGUGAAUAAUGUUACUAACAUUUUGUUGGAUGAAGAAAUAACAAAAAUAAAAGUUUUAGAUCUUGAUGAGUUAUUCAACUUUGUUGUUGAUGACUUUUUCAAUUGAAAUC